CCUCAUGCCAAUUCCUUAAGUUUUUAUUGAGUCAAAAGCAAAGAAAAAGACACAUACAUUUACAGCACCAUUUCAACACAUAUAUAUUUGUAUAUGCAAAUGAAUAGAGUUUAUAUAUUUUACAUGAACUGAGUAUGAAAUAUUUUAAGAAAGAACUUUUGCUUUGAGCUUUGAUCUCCCAUUGUUUUCAAUUCUGCUGUGUCGAGUCUGUGGGCAUCGAGUUGGGUCAGGGGUUGUUGGCAGAGAGAGUCGAGAGAUGGAGGGAGGCAGGGCACGGCGGCGGCCUGCCGCUGCUGUCCGGCCAAGGGCGGAAGAUGGGGAGGGAGUCAUGGUCUGUGGGUGAGCGUCGAACUUGUGUAUGAGUUGAGGGAAGACUGAGAUGAUGGCGGUGGCUUUUGGCUGUAGACACCGGGAAUCAGGAGAGGGGAAAUAGAUGGAGGGAGGCGGCGGCACCUCGGCGUCGCCAAGGAGGAAGGCGGAGGCGCUGAAUCUCGCCGCUGCUUCGCGUCUGUGUGUCCAAGUGAGUCGGUUCUGGAGUUGCCAGAGAUGAGGGAAAAGAGAAGGGAAGGUGGGGUGUCGGAUCUGUUCAGCGAGAGGAAACGAGCGUCGGGCCUGCGGCGGACUCCGCUGUUUCGCCGGAGAGAAAGCCGCGGCGGCGGGUUUCGGCUGGAGAGGGGCGGAGUAUUUGUGUGCGUUCUGAUGAGGGAGAUCGAGGAAGAUGGAGGCGGCAGCCUUCCAGCCGUGAAUUCGCCGGAAGGGAGACUGCGGCGGCCGAGCUUUGAGAGAGAGGGGUGGGUCUGGCCUGAACCGAGAGAGGCGCGAGAGAGAGAUGAGUUGUGUGCGUGAGAGUGAAGGGAGGAAGAGAAGGGGAUUUAGGGUUGGUCUGUUGGGCUGGGUCUUGGGCCCAUUUUUAUGAGUGUUGGGCCUGUUUUAUUUAUUUAAUUAGUCCAUGUCUAUUCAUUUAUGUGGGCUGCGAAUUUUUAAGAAGUUGGGCCUUACAUUAAAUUAUUUUGGGCAGUCCACAUUUUAAUUAAUUUGAUUAUCAGUAGUUGAUUAAUUAUUUUAAAGACAAAUUGCAUAAUAAUAUUUUAUUAUUGUUAUGUGCAUAUUUUAAGUAAUUACUUAUCAUAUAUAUGCUAAGCAUGACAUGACAUUGCAUUUGCAUCAUGCAAUAAAAGUAUUCAUGAUUUAAUUGGUUUAUUUAUAAAUCCAAUUAUUUAAGAAAAUCGAGUAAGGAUAUUGUUGGUGUCCUUAACUCAAGAAUUUAGUUUUCAAUUAUUUAUUUACUAAAUUUUGGAAACCCGGCGUGAUGAAUCAAGUAUGUUUAGUACAUCCACUAAGACUUUAAGUUAGCUUCACGAGACCUAUUAAGAAUAGAAUUUCUUGUAGGCUUUGUGACCAGGGGGAUUAGCGCUGCUUUCCCAAGACAGGUUUUUAUGUGUAUGAUCUUCAGGCUUUGCCUAUCCAGGUUGGCUGGCCGGUGCUGACGGGACUGAGCUGAGGCUAGGGUUCAAUUUCUAUGUAGACUUCCGCUGUAGUAAUAACUCUUAUACAUCUUUUGUUUUCUCAACUUAAGAUGACUUCAUGUCGAGCUUCAAUUUAAAAUUUCUAGUUUCGAGUUAAUGAACGUCGGUUGUCAGAAACAUGAAACAAAACUUGUGAUCCAAAGGGGCCUAGCCCGACUCGUUAUCUUAUUAUUCGGGUUUUAACAAGGUUGUUCCUUGUUUAUUUCUAUGAAUUAGUUGCACCUCGAUUA
Molecule: long non-coding RNA, 1756 nt
Organism: Salvia miltiorrhiza (redroot sage)
Lineage: Eukaryota; Viridiplantae; Streptophyta; Magnoliopsida; Lamiales; Lamiaceae
Exons: 2
Source: RefSeq, a predicted model, not a curated record